GACGAACGCUGGUGGCGUGCUUAACACAUGCAAGUCGAACGGAAAGGCCCUGCUUUUGUGGGGUGCUCGAGUGGCGAACGGGUGAGUAACACGUGAGUAACCUGCCCUUGACUUUGGGAUAACUUCAGGAAACUGGGGCUAAUACCGGAUAGGAGCUCCUGCUGCAUGGUGGGGGUUGGAAAGUUUCGGCGGUUGGGGAUGGACUCGCGGCUUAUCAGCUUGUUGGUGGGGUAGUGGCUUACCAAGGCUUUGACGGGUAGCCGGCCUGAGAGGGUGACCGGCCACAUUGGGACUGAGAUACGGCCCAGACUGCUACGGGAGGCAGCAGUGGGGAAUAUUGCACAAUGGGCGGAAGCCUGAUGCAGCAACGCCGCGUGCGGGAUGACGGCCUUCGGGUUGUAAACCGCUUUCGCCUGUGACGAAGCGUGAGUGACGGUAAUGGGUAAAGAAGCACCGGCUAACUACGUG
Molecule: ribosomal RNA, 468 nt
Filed under: uncultured bacterium
Lineage: Bacteria
Description: partial 16S ribosomal RNA
Rfam family: Bacterial small subunit ribosomal RNA
Source: RNAcentral